UACGUAGGGUGCAAGCGUUAAUCGGAAUUACUGGGCGUAAAGCGUGCGCAGGCGGUUAUGCAAGACAGAUGUGAAAUCCCCGGGCUCAACCUGGGAACUGCAUUCGAGACUGCAUGGCUAGGGUGCGGAAGAGGGAAGCGGAAUUUCCGGUGUAGCGGUGAAAUGCGUAGAUAUCGGAAGGAACACCAGUGGCGAAAGCGGCUUCCUGGUCCAGCACCGACAUUCAGGCACGAAAGCGUGGGGAGCAAACAGG
Molecule: ribosomal RNA, 253 nt
Filed under: uncultured bacterium
Lineage: Bacteria
Description: partial 16S ribosomal RNA
Rfam family: Bacterial small subunit ribosomal RNA
Source: RNAcentral